UUAGCUUCUUUUAAUUUCUUUUAUUUAUAUAAUAACCUUCACUUCUCUCUCUGCAUCCCCCUUCUUCAUUCUCAUUCACCCACUCAUCAUCCUCUUCUUCCUUCUCUCUCUUUCUCUCUUACCCCCCUUGAACAUAGCCGAGACUCGUGGGGGAGAGAGAAAAAAAAACAAGAGUAAAAAUAAAAGAGAGAGUGAAAAUAUAUACAUAGAUGAAUAUUAGAUGAACACAUAGAAGGGCAUUUUGGGAAUAUAAAUAUAGAUGCUAUGAGGAAGCUUUGUCUUUUGAGGGGAAUGUUGUCUGGCUCGAGGACCCUUUCAUCAUAUCAUCUUGAUCAUCCAUAAUAUCCAAAUCUCUAUAAGAUUAUGGUGGUAUCAAAAUAUAUAGAGAUAAUUGAUUAUUAUUGAUGAAGAUAUAUAUAUUAUUUUUUUUAGGUUUGGUUCCUCUCUCUCUCUCUCUCUUCUUAGCUUUAUUUUUUUUUCUAAUUUUUAAAAAUUAAUUUACUAGUUGUACUAUGAAAAAGUUUUGUUUUUUUCUUAAGAAUAGGUAGAUCUGAAUGAUGGGUUUUUGUUUUUGGAUGAAUUAAAGACGUGGGUAUGUUAGUAGUUUGCAGAUUGGUGUAAUGAUGAUGAAUUUUGACUAAUUUUGUUCUUCACUUCACUUGGAGGCUCAAAAGGUUACCAUCAUUACUCCCUUUUUUUUCUUAGCAGCUUCUUUCCUUUCCUCUCUCUGAUCAUGUUGUGAUGAUGGUGUUCUUUGUUGUGUCAGGUUUGUAAUACUUUUUAAAAAAAAAAAAUUAUUUUCUUGUUCAUCAUCAUUAGCUCUAUGAUCUAUAGAUCUUGCCCACAACUAUUUAUUUUUUUUUUUUUAAAAGUUUUUUAAUUUCAAUUUUUAAUUUUCUAGCAUCGGAUCUGUCUGUUUCUGCCAUGUUUUUUCUCAGAUCUGGUCGCCUUUAAAUCUCAGUUAAACAUUCUCUCCUCUUUUUCAUUUAAAAAAAAAAAAAAAACAAAGAAAAGAAAAAAGAGUAAUUUUCAUUUUACCUUUUCUCUCUCUCUUUACCUAUUCUUUUUUAUCUUUCUUUAUUAGGGUUUUCUACUUUUCUAGCCUAUAUUUUUUUUGUCUCUAAUAUCGUCAGUUUUUGUAAGGUAUGGUCAUGAGUCUUAAAUAAUCAUUUAGUUAUGAUUUAUGAAUUUGAAUCAAAGUGAAUGAGACCCUUUUCUUAAUAGUCUUGUUUACUUCAAAUAUUGUCAAUACUAUGUGAUAAAAUCAAUGCAUAAUUUUGAUCGUUAUGAUAAUAAUUAUUUUAUAAAAAAAUAAAUAACCUGCAGGGACUAAUAGGAGUAUGUAGUAGUAUCAUGUAUCGAAAAUCAAUAUCAAAUAUUGCUUCUUAAUCUCUCUAAAAAUUUAAGGCUUGUGAUUUAUUGGAUCCAUCAAUCAGAAUGACAAAUUCAUGUUACUAAACAUAGCACUUAACUUGAUGAUAUUUUCGGUAACGUCAUAGAUCUAUACUUUUCCCUGCUUUUCUUGUCCAUAUGAAUUAAUUAUCAUAUACUGAAUUAAUAUUGUUAGAUCUGAAUUGAAUCUUUGCAAUUAUUGAUAUGUUUUAUUGUGGGUUUCCAUAAGCAUUUACCUUUUGUUUUUUCAUGAAAAAAAAAAAAACAUUUUUUCUUAAAAUUUCCUUAGGUUUAUUUAAAAUCUCAUUUGAUAUCUAAGAGCCUAAUUAAACAAUAAAUAUAUACAAGAUUCUUUGUUUUCCUUCUGUUUAAAUUUAUUUCAAUAUUCAUUAAGCUCUUGUAAGAGAAUAAACCAAAAAAAAGUGUCCUUCAAUAAUUCAUAUAUCUCUUAAAACAACACAUUAUUAUAUUCUAAAUGAAAUAAUAAUAUGCUUCCUUACAUGCAUUGUGUACAAAAAUGUUGGCAAGUAAGCCUUUUAUUUGUAUUAGUACAUGGAAUAUAUAAUUUUAUUUUUAUGAAGAGAAUCAAUAAUUGAUUUUAGAAUGAAUUAUUAUUGUAUAUUGAAGUGUCUCCUUUAUUAGAAGAGACAACACCGCCAUAAAUAAGAAGUUUGAUUUCAGAAGACGGUCAAUAUAACUAGAAGACAUAGGGGGAAGAACAACAAUAACAUAAACACAGUGCUCAUUAUUAUAUUCACCACUGGAUUUUUUUGGAUUUGAAUUCUCUAAAUUUUGAAUUUCACUUUAGAGAGUAAAAUAUGUAUGAUCGAUCACCAUUUAUUUUAUAGGUGGGACCAAGAGAAAACAUGAGAGAGGAAAUAUUCAAUGUUAAAAGAUUUUACUUUAUCCUCUAAAGUGAAAAUCUAAAAUUUAGAAGAUCCAAAUUCGUAUUUUUGUUUUCCUUUAUCAAUUGUAUUUACCAUUGUGCCAUUCACAGAUUAAUAUUUUACAUGUGGAAUUCAAAAUCUUCACAUUGAAAGGAAAAUAAUUUUAAAAAAAAUAAUAAUAAAAAUAAUAAAAUUAGUAUUUGGUUUGGGUUAUGCUAACUUCUAAUAAUAAUGGGUAUAAAAACUUCAAGAUCUUCUUUAAAAUUUUUUAUACUCACAAUAUAUAUAACUCAGAAAACCUGUGUUUCUUUGACCAAAUAUUUUUAGUGGUGUAUAGAGUUAUAUUAAAUAAUUAAAUAUAUGUUUCUAAAAUUUUAGAAACAAAGUAGAAAACAGUUGAAUUUCACCAAAUUACCAAAUCUCUAAACAUGGAUUUUGGUUGAAAAGAUAAAAAAAUUUUCAGUUACCAAUUGUCUACAUACUUUGGCCUCUGAAAAUUUAUGACCUCAUGAAGCGUCACAUGUAUUAUUAUUAUUAUUAUUUUGCUAACAAGUAGAGUGUUAAAUGUAGAAAGGUUGUAAAUAAAAAAGUUCACAUAAAGCAUUAAUAAAUGUAUAUUUUUGCAUCUGUUGCAACCUUUUUAAUUGUGUGAAGUUACCCAUGAAGUUUACCGAAUUCCACCUUCGCAUAUAUAUAAUAAAGAAUCUGCUUUUGGGAAAUUGGAUCUUUUUGACUUUUGAAAAAAAAAACACAUAAGUUAUGGUUGUUGAAUUCCCGUAAAAACAGCUUUUGUGGUCAUCAAAGCAUACUACUUUUCCAUGAAUAAUUGUUGUGAUGAGAACAAAAAUUAAGUGACCCCAGAAACUUUUUGGAGUCCCACUUUAUACUGUUUGGGUAGGAAAUUGAGGUUCUUCGUCUAUCCAUGCAUAUAUUGUUCAUCAAUUUUUCUAUUUUUGAGUAAAUUAGUUAUGGUGAAUUUUACGGUACUUAUAAUUUAGUAUCUAAUUUUUGUUUAAUUUAUUUUUUAUAGUAAAUUUUAAAUAUUUAAUAAUUAUUUAUUUUUAUAAUUUUAAAAUUAAAUAUUAAUUUUUGAAUUUUUUUAUUAGUUAAGCAAACUAGCAAAGGGACCAUAGCAAUUACUAUUAGUUAUAUAUUGAACAAAGAAAAGGAGAAAAAAAAAUCCAAAUCUUUUAACUAUUAGGCCUUAUUAAACGAAAUUUUCUUCUUUAACUUUAUUAAUUAUCUUAGGAUUUAGCUAAUUAAAAUGUGUUCUAAUGAUAUAUGUUAUUUUUAAAAUAUGUGUUUUAAGACAUAUAUAUUAACCAAUGUAAGAUAUAUAACCACUAUGUGCAUAAGGUCUUAGUUUAGUAGUAAUGAACUAAUGAUCUUUGUUUUGCAAAAAAUGCAUCUGAGUUUGAAAUUAGGAAUUAUUAAUCUAUCAUCUUAAUAAAAAAAAAUUAAUUAUAUAUAUUUUUUGUCAACUUAAAUUUUUAAAAGAAGUAGUUUUAUAACAAACAAACUUAUAAUUUAUAAACUGGCAUAAUUCUUUUGAACAAUUUCAAUUAAUACUUCACUUUGUAUAUGUAGUGUAAGAUUAAUUAAUAAUUUGGUGUUCCAUAGUCCAUCUCUUGAAAUAAAACCCCUUUGACGCAUUCAAGUGGGUUAUAGAUCAAAGACUACAAUUAUUUUUUUUUAAUGGUAUUUUUUAGUCUGCAAGUCAAAGAUUAAUUCGUUGUAAAUCUAAGUUCUAUUUAAGACUGACCAAUAAUAAGUUAUUAUAAUUUAUAUGCACAAAACAAGAUUCGACUAAAAAAUUAGUUAGGCAGACUAGUGAAUUAACCGUUAAACCAAUCUAAAUGGUUAGAAAUGACUUUGAAUUUGCCAUUUUCUUCCAUUUUGUUGGAUUAAUAAUUAAUCAGUCUAUAUGUUGAAAAAUGAAGAUGCAACAUUUAGCUCCUUUCAAUGGUAAGUGGUAACUUAGCUUGUGAUUAAGAUGCUAGAAUGUUCGACUUGCAUGUUAGUUCGUAUAAUGAUGAUGCUGAUCUAUUUGAUGUGUAUUUUUUAAUUGAAUUGUGUUAAUUAUAUACAAAAAGUGAGGUAACUAUGUAAUUUGAUAUAACGAAAUUCAAUUUAAUGAUACAAAAAUGGCUUUAAAAUUGUAAAUCACACCAAAAUCUAGAAAGGUAUUAAAAUAUGUGUUAAUAUAUUGUAUGUAAAUGUUUUUUUUUUUUUUGGAUUAAAAUAUAUAUUUGUUAAAAAAUGUGUUGAAAGACGAGGGCCCAAUUAAGGAGGGCAAUCCAUCUAUCAAAGAUCCGGUAUCAGCUUUUUAUUUUUUAUUUUUUAUUUGUUGGUUUUUUUAUUUUUUAUUUUUUUUUGCUGACAAACUUCUGUUAUGUUCAAUUCGACGAGGUUAUGAAAUUACAAUCAUAUGUCACCCAACUCACUAGUGGACAAUUUUGUUUUGCACUCCAACUACCCUCCC
This 4761-nucleotide long non-coding RNA is filed under the name Arachis ipaensis. RNAcentral describes it as "long non-coding RNA (AIPA_LNC000271)". The record is from RNAcentral. Lineage: Eukaryota; Viridiplantae; Streptophyta; Magnoliopsida; Fabales; Fabaceae.